This 460-nucleotide ribosomal RNA is filed under the name uncultured bacterium. RNAcentral's name for it is "partial 16S ribosomal RNA". It matches the Rfam family "Bacterial small subunit ribosomal RNA", at positions 338 to 795 of the family's 1533-position model. The record is from RNAcentral.
CCUACGGGAGGCAGCAGUGAGGAAUAUUGGUCAAUGGGCGCAAGCCUGAACCAGCCAAGUCGCGUGAAGGAUGACUGCCCUAUGGGUUGUAAACUUCUUUUAUCAGGGAAUAAAGUGCGGUACGUGUACCGUUUUGUAUGUACUUUAUGAAUAAGGAUCGGCUAACUCCGUGCCAGCAGCCGCGGUAAUACGGAGGAUCCGAGCGUUAUCCGGAUUUAUUGGGUUUAAAGGGAGCGUAGGUGGGUUGUUAAGUCAGUUGUGAAAGUUUGCGGCUCAACCGUAAAAUUGCAAUUGAUACUGGCAUCCUUGAGUACAGUAGAGGUAGGCGGAAUUCGUGGUGUAGCGGUGAAAUGCUUAGAUAUCACGAAGAACUCCGAUUGCGAAGGCAGCUUACUGGACUGCAACUGACGCUGAGGCUCGAAAGUGUGGGUAUCAAACAGGAUUAGAUACCCUUGUAGUC